This 379-nucleotide unclassified non-coding RNA is filed under the name uncultured bacterium. RNAcentral describes it as "contains 16S-23S intergenic spacer region". The record is from RNAcentral.
UCCGGUUUGUCACCGGCAGUCUACUUAGAGUUCCCGACAUUACUCGCUGGCAACUAAGUACAAGGGUUGCGCUCGUUGCGGGACUUAACCCAACAUCUCGCGACACGAGCUGACGACAGCCAUGCAGCACCUGUCUCCAGGUUCCCGAAGGCACUCCCUCAUCUCUGAAGGAUUCCUGGGAUGUCAAGACCAGGUAAGGUUCUUCGCGUUGCAUCGAAUUAAACCACAUGCUCCACCGCUUGUGCGGGUCCCCGUCAAUUCCUUUGAGUUUUAGCCUUGCGGCCGUACUCCCCAGGCGGGGUACUUAAUGCGUUAGCUUCGGCACAGGAGGAGUCGACACCUCCUACACCUAGUACCCAUCGUUUACGGCGUGGACUAC